RNAcentral lists this ribosomal RNA (305 nucleotides) under uncultured bacterium. RNAcentral describes it as "bacterial SSU rRNA". It matches the Rfam family "Bacterial small subunit ribosomal RNA", at positions 337 to 635 of the family's 1533-position model. The record is from RNAcentral.
ACCUACGGGAGGAGCAGUAGGGAAUCUUCGGCAAUGGGCGAAAGCCUGACCGAGCAACGCCGCGUGAAUGAAGAAGGCCUUCGGGUUGUAAAAUUCUGUUAUAAGGGAAGAAAGGUGAUAGGAGGAAAUGACUAUCAAUUGACGGUACCUUAUGAGAAAGCCACGGCUAACUACGUGCCAACAGCCGCGGUAAUACGUAGGUGGCAAGCGUUAUCCGGAUUUAUUGGGUGUAAAGGGCGUGUAGGCGGGAGCGCAAGUCAGAUGUGAAAACUCAGGGCUCAACCCUGAGCCUGCAUUUGAAACUG